This 497-nucleotide ribosomal RNA is filed under the name uncultured bacterium. RNAcentral's name for it is "partial 16S ribosomal RNA". It matches the Rfam family "Bacterial small subunit ribosomal RNA", at positions 28 to 507 of the family's 1533-position model. The record is from RNAcentral.
GAUGAACGCUGGCGGCGUGCCUAAUACAUGCAAGUCGAGCGAACGGACGAGAAGCUUGCUUCUCUGAUGUUAGCGGCGGACGGGUGAGUAACACGUGGAUAACCUACCUAUAAGACUGGGAUAACUUCGGGAAACCGGAGCUAAUACCGGAUAAUAUUUUGAACCGCAUGGUUCAAAAGUGAAAGACGGUCUUGCUGUCACUUAUAGAUGGAUCCGCGCUGCAUUAGCUAGUUGGUAAGGUAACGGCUUACCAAGGCAACGAUGCAUAGCCGACCUGAGAGGGUGAUCGGCCACACUGGAACUGAGACACGGUCCAGACUCCUACGGGAGGCAGCAGUAGGGAAUCUUCCGCAAUGGGCGAAAGCCUGACGGAGCAACGCCGCGUGAGUUAUGAAGGUCUUCGGAUCGUAAAACUCUGUUAUUAGGGAAGAACAUAUGUGUAAGUAACUGUGCACAUCUUGACGGUACCUAAUCAGAAAGCCACGGCUAACUACGUG